Molecule: long non-coding RNA, 286 nt
Organism: Rhodamnia argentea
Lineage: Eukaryota; Viridiplantae; Streptophyta; Magnoliopsida; Myrtales; Myrtaceae
Exons: 3
Source: RefSeq, a predicted model, not a curated record
UAGAGAGAGGGACAGCGAGAGGGGAUGGGAUAUUUGCCUACCUAUCAAAAAGCUUUCACUCCCACCACUAGCAAACAAGCGGAAGAACAAGAGUAAAAACAAGAGAGCGAGAGAACAGAAAAGCAAAGGAGACAUCAAGGAGACUUUUUCUAAAAGUGAAAGUGGGGGAGGAUGUUGUUGUAACCCCAAACGGAGGAGGAGGACAAAAAUGGACGGUCUUAUUAUUAUGGCCAAGAGUUGAGAACUAUUAAACCUGGUAUUUAAGACAGCUUUAAAUGCAAGUGGG